AUCCAGCUGACGAGUCCUAAAUAGGACGAAACGCGCGUCGUGGAU
This is a non-coding RNA of Schistosoma rodhaini, 45 nucleotides long. The record is from Rfam. NCBI's taxonomy places the organism in Eukaryota, Metazoa, Platyhelminthes, Trematoda, Strigeidida, Schistosomatidae.